GAAAGAAGACGUCAUCACUAGCGCGCGCUCCCUCAGUCAGCGUCGAGUCUUGUGAGAAAUUAAUGUUCAGUGAAGCUCUUCCCACAACAAUCACAGCAUCAGUGAUUUCACCAAUAAAUGCUGGAAUAUUUCCAUCAGCCUGAGCCUACAAGUGAAGAUGAGCAUCAAACCACCAGAAAGCGCUAAAAUCUGCAAAGAUUGAAUUAAUUAAAGACAACAGAGAGAGGAUGAGAGAUCCAGAACCCUGCAGAAUGAAACGCACUGAAGAACAAAGAGAGUUGAUUGAAGGGAAUGAAGAACCAAGUGAAGUUGAGAAGAAAAGUCUUGUCAAAACUGAAGAAAAAACUUUGAGUUGCUCUCAAACCAAACAGAAAUAUUUAAA
Long non-coding RNA from Sinocyclocheilus rhinocerous, 382 nucleotides. RefSeq lists it as uncharacterized. Lineage: Eukaryota; Metazoa; Chordata; Actinopteri; Cypriniformes; Cyprinidae. The record is from RefSeq and is a predicted model, not a curated record. The transcript has 3 exons.